GAUGAACGCUGGCGGCAUGCCUAACACAUGCAAGUCGAACGGCAAGUGGUGUUUCCAUUGGCGGUCGGGUGAGUAACGCGUAAGAACCUGCCCUUGGGAUGGGAACCACAGCUGGAAACGGCUGCUAAUACGCCGUAGGCUGAGGAGCACAACGUAGAAUCCGCCUGAGGAGGCGCUCGCUUUUGAUUAGUUAGUUGGUGAGGGAAUGGCUUACCAAGUCGAUGAUCAGUAGCUGGUCCGAGAGAAGGAUCGGACACACUGGAACUGGGACACGGGCCAGACUGGGACGGGAGGAAGGAGUGGGGAAUAAUGGAAGAUGGGAGUAAGGAAGAUUCAGCAAUGGGGCGAGGGUUAAGAAGGCAAUGGGGCGUGAAAGUAGAAGGAUUAGGGAAGAAGAGCAGCAGGUUAAGAAGAAGAAGUAAUGACGGUAUCUAGAGAAUAAGCACCGGCUAACUCUGUG
Molecule: ribosomal RNA, 460 nt
Filed under: uncultured bacterium
Lineage: Bacteria
Description: partial 16S ribosomal RNA
Rfam family: Bacterial small subunit ribosomal RNA
Source: RNAcentral